This is a long non-coding RNA of Limulus polyphemus (Atlantic horseshoe crab), 1325 nucleotides long. RefSeq lists it as uncharacterized. The record is from RefSeq and is a predicted model, not a curated record. Lineage: Eukaryota; Metazoa; Arthropoda; Merostomata; Xiphosura; Limulidae. The transcript has 2 exons.
AGGUGCUGAUGAGUUAAUUCCUGUGGUUAGCUACAUCUUGAUAAAAGCUGACCUUCCCCAGUUGUUUUCAGAAUGUCAGUUAUUAGACCAACUCAUGGAUCAAAGAUACUUGAUGGGAGAAGAAGGGUACUGCUUGACAUCAUUUUUGACAGCCUUGAAAUACUUAGAGACACAGACGGACUGGUAGAGUGAUUCCAGAAUAUUCCAUCAUAAGAAGCUCUUAAACUACUUGGAAGGACUUCUAUUGCUGAUUCAAGUCAAGAGAUAGCUCAUUUUAUGAUACAUUAUUUUGAGCUCAAGAGGAAAUAAAAAAAGUAUCAUUUGGAUGUAAAAAUGGAGUUUUUUGAAAAUGUAGAAAUAUUUCUGUAUAUAGGUUGAAAGUAUAUGUGAAUGUUUGUUUCUAUCACACUUAGAAAAAGUUUCAUAAAAUUAAACUUGCACUGUAUGUAAUAGAAAUGUAUACAGGCUAAGUUAGCCAUAAAUAAUUUUUUUUUUUUCCCCCAAAAAUGUUGCUUCAAGUUAAGAUUAUUUAGUGUUACAUGUAUGCUAGCAUGUGUUGGGUUGGAGAAUUGAUUUAAAUUUUGGUUACUUUAUUAGUUGAUUAUAAUAUGUUUUUUGGAUAGCUUACUUAAUAGUAAUUACUAUCAGUUAAUUACAUUUUAUCUUGUGCAAAAUAUUUUGGUGUUUGUAUUAGUAAAGAAUAUAAUAAUAUAUAUAUAUUUGCAGCAUACUACAUCUAUUGUUAUACUGUAGGAUAUUUUUAUUUUGUUUGUUUUGAUCCACAAAAUAAAAAAAUAGCAAAUCAUUUAAAGAAGUAAAUUUAAAAUUGGUUACACAAAGAUUAAUUAAAAGGGAUAUCACAUGUAUAUAUGUAUUUAUUAAUUCAACAUACAUGUUUUCAAAAUACACAAGGAGUACUACAGACAGGAAGUAAAUCCUUGUGUAUGCUCUGUUUUUCUAUUUCUGUAUGUGUCCUGUAAAGUAUAUUUAGUUCUAAACUUUUCUAUACACUAUUUGCCACAUGUGAUAUGGCUAAAAACAGCAAAGUUUGACAAUAAUGGAAUUUUAAAGAUGACACGUGGUGGUAUAUAUAAAACUAGGUUUUGAAUGGUGCUCAGGUAAUUCUAAACUGGUUAGGGCCACUUAUCUGAGUAAUUGUUAUGAUCUUACUUGGAAGAGUAUGAAGUGACCCACUCAAUCUCCAAACCUGAAUCCAUUUGAUGACACUCAUAACUCAAACUUAGGAUAAUGCAGAUACAAUGUCAGGCAGUGAUAAGUGUUUGAAGGUAUCCUUGUGCAUGUUGAGUUUUAUAAAGGUAUGCUUU